CCUCGUGCCACGAGAUUCACUACAACGGCUUCGACGCUCGCGUCUCUCGGCCCCUCAACCACCAGUCCCGACGAGGUUCGAGCUUCUCCUCUGCCUGACUCCGCCUUGAAGUAGACAUGGCUGACGCACAAGGUAAUGACGACCAGAAGCAGCAGCAGCAACACCAGGAGGACCCAGAUCCCGAGAAUCGCUACGCAUACGGCUGGUACCAGCCCUACAACCCCGAGAACGAAGUGGCACCCAUUGUUGAAGCCCAGAAAGAAGGUUCCCCCGGGGCUCAGAGGAGUCACGUGUCCACUUUACG
Molecule: non-coding RNA, 304 nt
Organism: Dermacentor albipictus
Lineage: Eukaryota; Metazoa; Arthropoda; Arachnida; Ixodida; Ixodidae
Source: RefSeq, a predicted model, not a curated record